RNAcentral lists this ribosomal RNA (171 nucleotides) under Triticum aestivum (bread wheat). Its description in RNAcentral is "partial small subunit ribosomal RNA". The record is from RNAcentral. Lineage: Eukaryota; Viridiplantae; Streptophyta; Magnoliopsida; Poales; Poaceae.
AUGAGGACUAUGUGCUGGAACUGUCGAGGAAUUAGCGACCUUGCGACAGUUCAUGAGCUCCGCGAUCUUGUGGAGGCUAGUGCACCGUCGGUGCUAUGCAUCGUUGAAACUCAACUGGCAAAGUACCGAGUGGAAGGUUUGGCGAGUAGGUUAGGUUUCAGCAGUAGUUUU